GGGGAGAAAGAAGAGAGGGGGGGAGGGGGGAACCAAAAAAGGACAACGAAAAAAGCUCAGGGCCCCCCCAGGGCCCUACUGCCCCACUUCGCUUGGAAUUCGGCGCGUUCCACCCCUACGGUUGCUUGAGAUUUUUCGGACAAUUCGCCACUCCACCAACGGGCUCGCGGGGUUUUUGAAAUUAUUUUCGAGGUUUUUUACCUCUUUUUUUCCCCUACUUAUUCCUCUUUCCCAUUUUUUCCUGUUUUUCCCCGUUUUUUUCCCCAUUUUUCCCCAUUUUUUUCCCAUUUUUUUCCUUUUUCCCCCAUUUUUUUCCCCAUUUUUCCUUUUCUCCAUUUUUUUGCUAUUUUUCCCCAUUUUUUCCUUUUCUUUCCCGAUUUUAUCCCUUUUCCCCAUUUUUUCCCAUUGUUCCCUUUUUUCCCCAUUUCCCCCCCUUUUUUCCUCUUCCCGUUUUUCAUUUUUUUCCAUUUUUGCCCAUUCUUUUCGCAUUUUCCCCAUUUUUCCCUCUUUUAUCCCCAUUUUUUCCUUUUCUUACGCAUUUUUGUCCUUUUUCCCCAUUUUUUCCCGUUUUCCCCCUUUUUCUUCUUCCCCCCACUUUUCCCCCUUUUUUCCUCUUCCCGUUUUCCCUUUUUUUCCAUUUUCUCCCCAUUCUUUCCUUUUUCCCCAUUUGUUUCCCAUUUUUCCCUGUUUUAUCCCCAUUUUUUCCUUUUCUUACCCAUUUUUGUCCUUUUCCCACAUUUUUUCCUGUUUUCCACCUUUUUCCUUUUCCUCCCAUUUCCCCCCGUUUUUUCCUCUUCCCAUUUUUCCUUUUUUUCCAUUUUUGCCAAUUUUUUCCUUUUGUUAUCCAAUUUUAUCCUUUUUCUCCAUUUUUCCCUUUUUCUUCCCAUUUUUCCUUUUUUUCCUAUUUUUGCCCAUUCUUUCCAUUUUCCCCCAUUUUUUCCCCAUUUUCCCCAUUUUAUCCCCAUUUUUUCCUUUUCUUAUCGAUUUUUGUCCUUUUCCCACAUUUUCUUCCCAUUUUUCCUUGUUAUUUCCCUUUUUUCCUCUUCCCAUUUUUCCUUUUCUUUCAAUUUUUUCCCAUUCUUUCCUUUUUUCCUCGUUUUUUUCCCAAUUUUUCCCAUUUGUUCCCUUUUUCCUGGUUUUCCCAUUCCCUUUUC
This 1154-nucleotide long non-coding RNA is filed under the name Numida meleagris (helmeted guineafowl). Its description in RNAcentral is "lncRNA (ENSNMEG00000004146.1)". Lineage: Eukaryota; Metazoa; Chordata; Aves; Galliformes; Numididae. The record is from RNAcentral.